UACGUAGGGGGCGAGCGUUGUCCGGAAUCAUUGGGCGUAAAGCGCGUGUAGGCGGUCCGGUAAGUCCGCUGUGAAAGUCGGGGGCUCAACCCUCGGAUGCCGGUGGAUACUGUCGGGCUUGAGUACGGAAGAGGCGAGUGGAAUUCCUGGUGUAGCGGUGAAAUGCGCAGAUAUCAGGAGGAACACCAAUUGCGAAGGCAGCUCGCUGGGACGUUACUGACGCUGAGACGCGAAAGCGUGGGGGGCAAACAGG
Molecule: ribosomal RNA, 253 nt
Filed under: uncultured bacterium
Lineage: Bacteria
Description: partial 16S ribosomal RNA
Rfam family: Bacterial small subunit ribosomal RNA
Source: RNAcentral